This 429-nucleotide ribosomal RNA is filed under the name Gemmatimonadota bacterium. Its description in RNAcentral is "Gemmatimonadetes bacterium partial 16S ribosomal RNA". It matches the Rfam family "Bacterial small subunit ribosomal RNA", at positions 355 to 776 of the family's 1533-position model. Lineage: Bacteria; Pseudomonadati; Gemmatimonadota. The record is from RNAcentral.
UAGGGAAUCUUCGGCAAUGGACGAAAGUCUGACCGAGCAACGCCACGUGAGUGAAGAAGGUUUUCGGAUCGUAAAACUCUGUUGUUAGAGAAGAACAAGGACGUUAGUAACUGAACGUCCCCUGACGGUAUCUAACCAGAAAGCCACGGCUAACUACGUGCCAGCAGCCGCGGUAAUACGUAGGUGGCAAGCGUUGUCCGGAUUUAUUGGGCGUAAAGCGAGCGCAGGCGGUUUCUUAAGUCUGAUGUGAAAGCCCCCGGCUCAACCGGGGAGGGUCAUUGGAAACUGGGGGACUUGAGUGCAGAAGAGGAGAGUGGAAUUCCAUGUGUAGCGGUGAAAUGCGUAGAUAUAUGGAGGAACACCAGUGGCGAAGGCGGCUCUCUGGUCUGUAACUGACGCUGAGGCUCGAAAGCGUGGGGAGCAAACAGG